UUAAACCUGACAGUGCGAACGGUAACAGGAGACAGCUUGCUGCUUGCUGACGAGUGGCGACACGGGUGGAGUAAUGCUGAGGUAAUGUGCCCCGAAGAGAGGGAUAGCCACUGGAAACGGUGAUUAAUACCUCAUACUCCUUCUCAUCACAAGGUGAGUUGGGAAAUGUUUUUCGCUUCGGGAUCAGCCUAUGUCCUAUCAGUUAGUUGGUGAGGUAAGAGCUCACCAAGGCGAUGACGGGUAGCUGGUUUGAGAGGAUGAUCAGCCACACUGGUACUGAGACACGGACCAGACUCCUACGGGAGGCAGCAGUGAGGAAUAUUGCACAAUGGGGGGAACCCUGAUGCAGCAACGCCGCGUGGAGGAUGACGCAUUUCGGUGUGUAAACUCCUUUUAUCAGAGAAGAACAUGACGGUAUCUGAUGAAUAAGCUCCGGCUAACUCCGUGCCAGCAGCCGCGGUAAUACGGAGGGAGCAAGCGUUAUUCGGAAUCACUGGGCGUAAAGGACGCGUAGGCG
This 517-nucleotide ribosomal RNA is filed under the name uncultured bacterium. Its description in RNAcentral is "bacterial SSU rRNA". It matches the Rfam family "Bacterial small subunit ribosomal RNA", at positions 49 to 577 of the family's 1533-position model. The record is from RNAcentral.